RNAcentral lists this non-coding RNA (26 nucleotides) under Homo sapiens (human). The record is from RNAcentral. Lineage: Eukaryota; Metazoa; Chordata; Mammalia; Primates; Hominidae.
UACUACGAGACGUGUGCUACAUACGG